This 87-nucleotide small RNA is filed under the name Flavobacterium frigidimaris. RNAcentral describes it as "Flavo-1 RNA". It matches the Rfam family "Flavo-1 RNA". The record is from RNAcentral. Lineage: Bacteria; Pseudomonadati; Bacteroidota; Flavobacteriia; Flavobacteriales; Flavobacteriaceae.
GAUUUGCGUGAGUGAUGGAAGUGGAGCUCUUUUUUUGAGAGGCUUUUGCCGAACAAAAAAAAGCGGGAACGGACAGCACGCUCCGGA